Molecule: long non-coding RNA, 269 nt
Filed under: Bos taurus (domestic cattle)
Lineage: Eukaryota; Metazoa; Chordata; Mammalia; Artiodactyla; Bovidae
Description: long non-coding RNA NONBTAT022643
Source: RNAcentral
AAAAUAGACUUGGCAUCCUAAAGAGUGUACGAGAUGACAGCAGUAGUGUACAAGCUGGGGAAGGAAUAGAGGUGUGGGAGGAGGUAGUUACUCAGUUCUUUUAGGCAGUACAUUGUGUGGCCUGCAUAUUCCCCCCUUUGUCACUGAUCUCACUCAUUGAUUCCAUUUUUAUGAAUUGUUAAUCAGCGACUCUGUUUAAAAUUGAGUGUUGUCUUGAGUUGGGCUGAUUACAUAUUGCCUUAUUUGUUCAUAAGCAUCUUUUAGAAUCU